Molecule: transfer RNA, 77 nt
Filed under: Bdellovibrio sp.
Lineage: Bacteria; Pseudomonadati; Bdellovibrionota; Bdellovibrionia; Bdellovibrionales; Pseudobdellovibrionaceae
Also listed under: 12 other names
Description: tRNA-Gln
Rfam family: tRNA
About the family: Transfer RNA (tRNA) molecules are approximately 80 nucleotides in length. Their secondary structure includes four short double-helical elements and three loops (D, anti-codon, and T loops). Further hydrogen bonds mediate the characteristic L-shaped molecular structure. tRNAs have two regions of fundamental functional importance: the anti-codon, which is responsible for specific mRNA codon recognition, and the 3' end, to which the tRNAs corresponding amino acid is attached (by aminoacyl-tRNA synthetases). tRNAs cope with the degeneracy of the genetic code in two manners: having more than one tRNA (with a specific anti-codon) for a particular amino acid; and 'wobble' base-pairing, i.e. permitting non-standard base-pairing at the 3rd anti-codon position.
Source: RNAcentral
UGGGGAGUCGCCAAGUUGGUUAAGGCACUGGGUUUUGAUCCCAGCAUCCGAAGGUUCGAGUCCUUCCUCCUCAGCCA